CUUGUUGGUGGGGUGAUGGCCUACCAAGGCUGCGACGGGUAGCCGGCCUGAGAGGGUGUCCGGCCACACUGGGACUGAGAUACGGCCCAGACUCCUACGGGAGGCAGCAGUGGGGAAUAUUGCACAAUGGGCGCAAGCCUGAUGCAGCGACGCCGCGUGGGGGAUGACGGCCUUCGGGUUGUAAACCUCUUUCACCAUCGACGAAGCCGUAAGGUGACGGUAGGUGGAGAAGAAGCACCGGCCAACUACGUGCCAGCAGCCGCGGUAAUACGUAGGGUGCGAGCGUUGUCCGGAAUUACUGGGCGUAAAGAGCUCGUAGGUGGUUUGUCGCGUUGUUCGUGAAAUGCCACAGCUUAACUGUGGGCGUGCGGGCGAUACGGGCAGACUGGAGUACUGCAGGGGAGACUGGAAUUCCUGGUGUAGCGGUGGAAUGCGCAGAUAUCAGGAGGAACACCGGUGGCGAAGGCGGGUCUCUGGGCAGUAACUGACGCUGAGGAGCGAAAGCGUGGGGAGCGAACAGGAUUAGAUACCCUGGUAGUCCACGCCGUAAACGGUGGGUACUAGGUGUGGGUUUCCUUCCUUGGGAUCCGUGCCGUAGCUAACGCAUUAAGUACCCCGCCUGGGGAGUACGGCCGCAAGGCUAAAACUCAAAGGAAUUGACG
This 662-nucleotide ribosomal RNA is filed under the name uncultured Actinomycetes bacterium. RNAcentral describes it as "SSU rRNA". It matches the Rfam family "Bacterial small subunit ribosomal RNA", at positions 245 to 915 of the family's 1533-position model. The record is from RNAcentral. Lineage: Bacteria; Bacillati; Actinomycetota; Actinomycetes.